UGAACGCUGGCGGCGUGCCUAAUACAUGCAAGUCGAGCGAACGGACGAGAAGCUUGCUUCUCUGCUGUUAGCGGCGGACGGGUGAGUAACACGUGGAUAACCUACCUAUAAGACUGGGAUAACUUCGGGAAACCGGAGCUAAUACCGGAUAAUAUUUUGAACCGCAUGGUUCAAAAGUGAAAGACGGUCUUGCUGUCACUUAUAGAUGGAUCCGCGCUGCAUUAGCUAGUUGGUAAGGUAACGGCUUACCAAGGCAACGAUGCAUAGCCGACCUGAGAGGGUGAUCGGCCACACUGGAACUGAGACACGGUCCAGACUCCUACGGGAGGCAGCAGUAGGGAAUCUUCCGCAAUGGGCGAAAGCCUGACGGAGCAACGCCGCGUGAGUGAUGAAGGUCUUCGGAUCGUAAAACUCUGUUAUUAGGGAAGAACAUAUGUGUAAGUAACUGUGCACAUCUUGACGGUACCUAAUCAGAAAGCCACGGCUAACUACGUG
Molecule: ribosomal RNA, 495 nt
Filed under: uncultured bacterium
Lineage: Bacteria
Description: partial 16S ribosomal RNA
Rfam family: Bacterial small subunit ribosomal RNA
Source: RNAcentral